GUGAACGCUGGCGGUAGGCCUAACACCUGCAAGUCGAACGGCAGCACAGUAAGAGCUUGCUCUUACGGGUGGCGAGUGGCGGACGGGUGAGGAAUACAUCGGAAUCUACUUUUUCGUGGGGGAUAACGUAGGGAAACUUACGCUAAUACCGCAUACGACCUACGGGUGAAAGCAGGGGAUCUUCGGACCUUGCGCGAUUGAAUGAGCCGAUGUCGGAUUAGCUAGUUGGCGGGGUAAAGGCCCACCAAGGCGACGAUCCGUAGCUGGUCUGAGAGGAUGAUCAGCCACACUGGAACUGAGACACGGUCCAGACUCCUACGGGAGGCAGCAGUGGGGAAUAUUGGACAAUGGGCGCAAGCCUGAUCCAGCCAUACCGCGUGGGUGAAGAAGGCCUUCGGGUUGUAAGGCCCUUUUGUUGGGAAAGAAAAGCAGCAGGUUAAUACCCCGCUGUUCUGACGGUACCCAAAGAAUAAGCACCGGCUAACUUCGUG
RNAcentral lists this ribosomal RNA (491 nucleotides) under uncultured bacterium. Its description in RNAcentral is "partial 16S ribosomal RNA". It matches the Rfam family "Bacterial small subunit ribosomal RNA", at positions 29 to 507 of the family's 1533-position model. The record is from RNAcentral.